UGAUAGUUCACUUGGCUGAUAGACAUCACGAUGCUGCGCCGGAAACAGUGUCAUCUGCUCCAGUAUCACGCCUGUGCAUCCGUUGUCAUGUGACAGAGAAGUCGCAUCUAUGGACAGUUGUGAACGCGCUGACAGCUGGUUGCCCAGGCUUUGGAUUAAAGGGCCAGCAGAGAAGGCCCUGCUCACCCUGUCGGCCCACCGCUGCUGUCAGACAACAUCUCCAAGAUGCUAUAAACUGCAGGACUAGAUGCCCAUCCCAAGGUUUCUAGAGAUUACACCAGCUCCAAACUGAAUCCAAACUCAUUUGUGAAGACUUCAGAUGACGCCAACGCUGACAAAGACUACAGACGACAACAACUGUACAUGAACACACAAAACAUUAGACACACAAAACAAAUAUUAUCCUUAUUUUGCCUAUAAGGGUAAAUUUGAUGAUUUUCAAC
This is a long non-coding RNA of Carassius auratus (goldfish), 443 nucleotides long. RefSeq lists it as uncharacterized. Lineage: Eukaryota; Metazoa; Chordata; Actinopteri; Cypriniformes; Cyprinidae. The record is from RefSeq and is a predicted model, not a curated record. The transcript is spliced from 3 exons.